CAGGCAACCAGUCAAAAACACAAUCCUCUCUUUUUAAACCCUUUCCAUGCGAAGUAUUAUUUCACUUGGCUACAUAUAUAAAUGGUACUGUCUCCAAAAACAAGGGCUCACAUAAGUUAUGGGGUGAACAACAGCCAGAUAGUGCUCCACGCAGAUACCACAGCAGCUGAAGAUGUUCCCUGAGAUGCCGACCAGCUCCAUGAUGACCAGGUGGUAGGUGAAGCUGUCAGAGUGGCUUAUCGUAGAGGUGGAGCACUUUUUACGCCAUUCUUGGAAGCCAUGGUAGAGGAUGAAGAUGCAGAGAGGGAGGAGGAGAAAGAAAUGUGUGAUGCUGAAUGUAGUGAAGAUGAGAGAGCCUGGUUCUGACAUGAGGCAUUCAAGGUCAACUGGAACGUGGGUGUUAAUGGAGGAAAGGUUUAUGUGAAGAGUGGAGUCACUGGAAGAGGAAGAGCUUACUGACAUCUAGAAGACAAUCACAUGAAUAAAAUGUUAAUAUUACAUCAGCUGCAUGUGUAUUUGUCCUGAAAGAAAAGAAGCAAUAAUGAU
Molecule: long non-coding RNA, 546 nt
Organism: Oreochromis niloticus (Nile tilapia)
Lineage: Eukaryota; Metazoa; Chordata; Actinopteri; Cichliformes; Cichlidae
Exons: 3
Source: RefSeq, a predicted model, not a curated record